UCUGAGAUUAGGGCCAGAAGCAGCCCUAAGAGGGUUCUCCCUGAGGUCCUGGGAGGUGAGUGCCCAUAGAACAGGGCUCCAUGGGAGGGCGUAGCUUAAAAACCAACUGCUAAAAAGAUUAGGCAGUUUGACUCACGGAUCCAAUCAGCCACAUCAAAGUAUGACAGGAAUGGAAAUGCAAUUAUUCAG
This 189-nucleotide small RNA is filed under the name Dasypus novemcinctus (nine-banded armadillo). RNAcentral describes it as "Nuclear RNase P (ENSDNOG00000030300.1)". It matches the Rfam family "Nuclear RNase P", at positions 72 to 254 of the family's 301-position model. Rfam says of the family: Ribonuclease P (RNase P) is a ubiquitous endoribonuclease, found in archaea, bacteria and eukarya as well as chloroplasts and mitochondria. Its best characterised activity is the generation of mature 5'-ends of tRNAs by cleaving the 5'-leader elements of precursor-tRNAs. Lineage: Eukaryota; Metazoa; Chordata; Mammalia; Cingulata; Dasypodidae. The record is from RNAcentral.